CCCGCCAACCGCCACCUCAGCACCUGGAGCAGAGGCCAGAGGGUUGCCCAUGCGCAGAGAUGGGGCUGAAACCACAGCCGAGCCCCAGGGCUCCACGGCUUAGAAGGCAGGUUUAAAACCUCUCCCUGCUGCCAGGGCCAGCUUCCUAUCCUGGACAUCUGUGGAGCUCAUGGAAGAGCCACCAGUUCCUUCAGCAUCAUCCUCUAAGCACUGGAAAAAUGAAACCAGCCCAGAGAGGUUUCCCCAGGGAACCUUGCAGAAGCUGGCCCUGGACUCCAGGACUGACGCUGCUCCCCAAUAGGGCUGCCACCACCCUUCAUCAAAGGAGUUGCAGAGUCUUCUUCCUAGGGGUUUACAUUUUAUUUUUUGUUCGUUUUGUUUUUUAUUUUUUAACUGAAGUAUAGUUGA
Sus scrofa (pig) is the source of this 408-nucleotide long non-coding RNA. RefSeq lists it as uncharacterized. The record is from RefSeq and is a predicted model, not a curated record. Lineage: Eukaryota; Metazoa; Chordata; Mammalia; Artiodactyla; Suidae.